This 468-nucleotide ribosomal RNA is filed under the name uncultured bacterium. RNAcentral describes it as "partial 16S ribosomal RNA". It matches the Rfam family "Bacterial small subunit ribosomal RNA", at positions 28 to 507 of the family's 1533-position model. The record is from RNAcentral.
GACGAACGCUGGCGGCGUGCUUAACACAUGCAAGUCGAACGGAAAGGCCCUGCUUUUGUGGGGUGCUCGAGUGGCGAACGGGUGAGUAACACGUGAGUAACCUGCCCUUGACUUUGGGAUAACUUCAGGAAACUGGGGCUAAUACCGGAUAGGAGCUCCUGCUGCAUGGUGGGGGUCGGAAAGUUUCGGCGGUUGGGGAUGGACUCGCGGCUUAUCAGCUUGUUGGUGGGGUAGUGGCUUACCAAGCCUUUGACGGGUAGCCGGCCUGAGAGGGUGACCGGCCACAUUGGGACUGAGAGACGGCCCAGACUCCUACGGGAGGCAGCAGUGGGGAGUAUUGCACAAUGGGCGGAAGCCUGAUGCAGCAACGCCGCGUGCGGGAUGACGGCCUUCGGGUUGUAAACCGCUUUCGCCUGUGACGAAGCGUGAGUGACGGUAAUGGGUAAAGAAGCACCGGCUAACUACGUG